This is a long non-coding RNA of Oryzias melastigma (Indian medaka), 726 nucleotides long. RefSeq lists it as uncharacterized. The transcript has 3 exons. Lineage: Eukaryota; Metazoa; Chordata; Actinopteri; Beloniformes; Adrianichthyidae. The record is from RefSeq and is a predicted model, not a curated record.
CGUUAGUUCAGUUCAAAGGCGCUUCCCCAAACACGAGGCCACAGCUGAUGUGCGCAUGCUCAACAGUAAACCCAAAAUGUUGACUUUAAUCUCAGGAAACCGAACCCGAACAGAACCACGCGCCCGAACAGCACCGCUUCUCACUGCCGGUCAAACUGACAAACGAGCACGCGGCUCCGGAGAUGAUGUGAACUCCUGUGACCUCGCGCCUGCAGUGAGUCAGGAGCAGACACAAGAAUGACAGAACCUGCAGGAGCAGAACCUCAGACACACCUGUAUCGUCAUCCUGAUGGGGGCGUGUCAGGCGUGGCGCCAUCACACACCGACCAGAGGAAACGUCCUCCAUGUUCAGACUGCAGCUGGCCCAAAGGCCCCUGUGGUUAUCAUGGUUAAUGCUGGCUGUUCUUCCUGAGGAUUAGUGACACAGAGCUGCGUCACCUGUAGCCUGGAUCACACAACGAAGCGUCUGCCGGGACAAAGACGCUGCAGCUCCUUCUUCUAUAGAAAACCUGGUUUCUCUCUGUAAUCUGAAGAAAAUUAAAUCUUCCUUUAAAGAAAAUCCUGUCGGGUGAAGAGGAUUUCUGCAUAAAUUGAUGCUGCAGCUUCUGAUUCUGAAGAACAGCUCCCUCUUGUGGACACAUGAAGAACUGUUCCAGAUUCACAAAAAGUAAAUUUGAGACAAAAAAGGUAAACAAUUCAGUGGACUCACAAAUAAAAACAAGUUAA